UACGUAGGGUGCGAGCGUUAAUCGGAAUUACUGGGGCGUAAAGUGUGCGCAGGCGGCAGAGCAAGUCGAGUGUGAAAAGCCCCCGGGCUUAACUUGGGAAUUGCGCUCGAAACUACUUUGCUGGAGUGUGGCAGAGGAAGGUGGAAUUCCACGUGUAGCGGUGAAAUGCGUAGAGAUGUGGAGGAACACCAAUGGCGAAGGCAGCCUUCUGGGCCAACACGUGA
Molecule: ribosomal RNA, 224 nt
Filed under: uncultured bacterium
Lineage: Bacteria
Description: partial 16S ribosomal RNA
Rfam family: Bacterial small subunit ribosomal RNA
Source: RNAcentral